RNAcentral lists this ribosomal RNA (435 nucleotides) under uncultured bacterium. Its description in RNAcentral is "bacterial SSU rRNA". It matches the Rfam family "Bacterial small subunit ribosomal RNA", at positions 339 to 791 of the family's 1533-position model. The record is from RNAcentral.
UUACGGGAGGCAGCAGUGGGGAAUUUUGCGCAAUGGGGGAAACCCUGACGCAGCGACGCCGCGUGGAGGAUGAAGGUCUUCGGAUUGUAAACUCCUUUUGUCGGGGAAGAUAAUGACGGUACCCGAUGAAUAAGCCACGGCUAACUCUGUGCCAGCAGCCGCGGUAAGACAGAGGUGGCAAGCGUUGUUCGGAAUUACUGGGCUUAAAGGGCGCGUAGGCGGUGGAGUAAGUCUGAGGUGGAAGAUUAGGGCUUAACCCUAAAAUUGCCUUGGAAACUGCAUCACUUGAGUCAGCGAGGGGAUGGCGGAAUUCCAGGUGUAGCGGUGAAAUGCGUAGAUAUCUGGAGGAAGGCCGGUGGCGAAGGCGGCCAUCUGGCGCUGAACUGACGCUGAGGCGCGAAAGCGUGGGGAGCAAACAGGAUUAGAUACCCUGGU